This 478-nucleotide ribosomal RNA is filed under the name uncultured bacterium. RNAcentral describes it as "bacterial SSU rRNA". It matches the Rfam family "Bacterial small subunit ribosomal RNA", at positions 326 to 793 of the family's 1533-position model. The record is from RNAcentral.
ACGCUAUCACUCCUACGGGGAGGCAUGCAGAUUGGGGAAUAUUGCACAAUGGGGGGAAACCCUGAUGCAGCCAUGCCGCGUGUGUGAAGAAGGCCUUCGGGUUGUAAAGCACUUUCAGUAGGGAGGAAGGUAGUGUAGUUAACACCUGCAUUAUUUGACGUUACCUACAGAAGAAGCACCGGCUAACUCCGUGCCAGCAGCCGCGGUAAUACGGAGGGUGCGAGCGUUAAUCGGAAUUACUGGGCGUAAAGCGCAUGCAGGCGGCCUGUUAAGUCAGAUGUGAAAGCCCGGGGCUUAACCUCGGAAUUGCAUUUGAAACUGGCAGGCUAGAGUCUUGUAGAGGGGGGUAGAAUUUCAGGUGUAGCGGUGAAAUGCGUAGAGAUCUGAAGGAAUACCAGUGGCGAAGGCGGCCCCUGGACAAAGACUGACGCUCAGAUGCGAAAGCGUGGGGAGCAAACAGGAUUAGAUACCCUGGUAG